GUCCCGUGCGAUCACCGAAGCUAAGCAACGUCGAGCCUGGGCACUACCUAGAUGGAUGACCGCUUGGGAAUACCAGGUGUUGUAAA
Acanthosepion pharaonis is the source of this 86-nucleotide non-coding RNA. The record is from the annotation of a GenBank genome assembly. NCBI's taxonomy places the organism in Eukaryota, Metazoa, Mollusca, Cephalopoda, Sepiida, Sepiidae.